GGAAAAAAAAGGAAAAUAUGACAAAUAAAAAAAUAUAAAUAAAAUAAUUACAAUAAUAAUAAUAUAAAUAAAUAUAAAUAGAUAAAAAAAAUGAUUCUAUAAAAAAAUAGAGAAAAAAGACCACAUCAUGCCAACACUCCCACAAAAGUUUUCCACCACCCUAACAGCCAGUAAUAGUGAGUACAUUUCUACUAACAAUGCACUGGAACCGUAAUUAAAUAAAUUGACAUUAUCUCGAUGAAUUACAAUCCAUCAAGAUAAUGACUAGUCAACAAACUUGAACGGUCUGUGGCAGUGUAGGUAGUGCCAAUAAUAAGAAAACUUCGCAUGAUAUGAUAGAGAUGCAACUACCUGAAAUAUACAAGAAGAAGUUCUCCUUGUGUUUUCAGGUAGUUGCAUCCCAAUGGACCUUUAACCUUAUAACUAAAAUUUUGAUCUAGACAACAAUUUCAUCACAGCUUGAAAGAGCA
This is a non-coding RNA of Paramuricea clavata, 470 nucleotides long. The record is from the annotation of a GenBank genome assembly. Lineage: Eukaryota; Metazoa; Cnidaria; Anthozoa; Malacalcyonacea; Plexauridae.